Molecule: transfer RNA, 65 nt
Filed under: Platypalpus cursitans
Lineage: Eukaryota; Metazoa; Arthropoda; Insecta; Diptera; Hybotidae
Description: tRNA-Ala
Source: RNAcentral
AGGACUGUAGUUAAUUAUAACAUUUAAUUUGCAUUUAAAAAGUAUUGAUCUAUCAAUCUGUCUUA